Molecule: long non-coding RNA, 984 nt
Organism: Sardina pilchardus (European sardine)
Lineage: Eukaryota; Metazoa; Chordata; Actinopteri; Clupeiformes; Clupeidae
Exons: 3
Source: RefSeq, a predicted model, not a curated record
GGGACGGUGACAUUCAAGGAGGGGUGAAUGUAAUGGGUAGGACGGAGACGAUUAGAAUUGCACCUUGAUUGGAUCAGGUGGGUGCCACUUGGCGCUGCCCAGUUAAAUAUAGCCGUGUCUUCCGGUGUCUUGAUUAGUGCCUUUCGUUACUUGGCUGUAGCCUACACAGGAGCUCUUUUGUUGUGCGAGUGAACCCUGGCUUGGUGCCUGUGAUCCUUCACUGGAGUGUGUGUUUGUGUCCAAACUUCGCCUGACAAACUUUUUGGCUGUGGGCCCGUGUGUUUCAACAAAAACGUAAGUUCCCUGCUUUUACGUAUGUGCAACCUGUCCGCACUUUAGCCAUAGGCAGUUGCCCUUAUGAGUCACGUUUAUUUGCAUUUUGUUCACAGUGGCCACCUAUAUAGAGUGAGAGGUCGUUACGAGUCAAUUGCGUGUUUGUUGUGCAGUGGAUUUUUGCCUGUGAACGUAUUGUAAAAGCGGGUCCACGACGUGACCGAAAACCACAAUAGUUUUCCGGCUCAGCACGGCGGCCUGCGUUUCUCCAGGAGAACCAUCAUCCGCUGCCUUAGCCACUGUUUUUCCUGUGCUUUGAUUUUAGUAGCUUUUGUGUGAGCGUGUGGCUUAGCCACCUUGUUGCCUAGAGGGGCCGUCCUUACUGUUCAAUGUUUGUAUGUCUAUUGUAUGUGCUAUUUAUUUAGGCCAUUGGGUCAGUGCAAUAUUCUGGGAGGGGGGGACAAUAAUCUUGUGUGGCCAUUGGCUUGCUGAGAGUGAUUUCCACCGAUUUGUGUGUGGCUGAUGUGCUGUUUAUCGAGUGUUUGCUUACUGAGUCAUUUCUGAAGUUUACCGUGUGCUAUUCAUCCAAACACCUUUUGCUGUGAUCUUUAUUGCCCUCCACCGUGAAUUUGUUGCCCUGAAGGCCUACUGUCUGUCGUAUUGUGUAUGUUGUUUAAAAUACAAUAAACAUUGUCUUUAUUUUUGAUAAUA